AUUUGGUUGGUUAUGCAACAUUCUUCUAACCCACCACACCAACCCUUGUCCAUUGUUCCUUCUCUUUGACCACCAAACACCAUAUAUUAUAUAUUUUAUUAGUGGUUGACCUAAAAUACUCAAAAUCCAAAAUGCUUGCAUGUUUUCUUUGAAGCAGAGACAUGGAGAGAUAAUUGAAUAUUGACAAGUAAUAUUGUAGCUUUUACUUAAGACAAAAUCUCAUGAGGACAUAGCAUACAACCUUUGACAAACUGGUAAAUGCGGAGGAGUUUCCAAUUCGGUUUGUUCGGGUCAUGAAACAUAGAAAUUGAAUGAUAUUGGUUCUGGUUCGGUUUUAAUUGAUAAAACCGGAUUUGCCAGCUUUAGUUAUGCGUGCAUAAACCGGAUCUUGUCAAACCCCUAAACAAGCUUGACGUGAAUUUGCAAUAAUAAAAUAUUUAUUUAUUUUUUUUUUUUCGCUUUCCUCAUGCUCGCCGACGGGCAUGAAGUUUCACACUCGUCUCGUCGUCGAACUUCCGAUCUGGCGAGAGCGUCUUCAUCGGAUUAGUCCUCUUUUGUCGUUGAUUUGCUACUUCACGGGGGUGUGUAUGCCCACCACUUGUUCGACGAAAAUCCACCUGAAAUGUUGGAUGAGCAGAGUUUGGAGAAGCUUUCAUGAAAAGCGAGAUCUAUGGAUGUUUCUAGAUCUAAUCUGAUGAGAUCUCUCCACUUGAAGUUCCAAUGGAAUAUGAUUAUUUGCAUUGCCACUAAAAAUGGAUUCUGAUGCUUAAUCACGAUUAUUGUGCUGCUUUUGCAGC
Long non-coding RNA from Brassica napus (rape), 797 nucleotides. RefSeq lists it as uncharacterized. The record is from RefSeq and is a predicted model, not a curated record. NCBI's taxonomy places the organism in Eukaryota, Viridiplantae, Streptophyta, Magnoliopsida, Brassicales, Brassicaceae. The transcript has 3 exons.